AGAAUGAACGCUGGCGGCAGGCCUAACACAUGCAAGUCGAGCGAGGUAGCAAUACCUAGCGGCGGACGGGUGAGUAACGCGUGGGAACAUACCCUUUGGUACGGAAUAGCCUCGGGAAACUGGGAGUAAUACCGUAUGUGUCCAUUCACUGUAGAGGUGAUUGGAGAAAGAUUUAUCGCCAAAGGAUUGGCCCGCGUUGGAUUAGGUAGUUGGUGGGGUAAUGGCCUACCAAGCCGACGAUCCAUAGCUGGUUUGAGAGGAUGAUCAGCCACACUGGGACUGAGACACGGCCCAGACUCCUACGGGAGCAGCAGUGGGGAAUCUUAGACAAUGGGCGCAAGCCUGAUCUAGCCAUGCCGCGUGAUCGAUGAAGGCCUUAGGGUUGUAAAGAUCGUUUCGUGGGGAAGAUAAGUGACGGUACCCAAGGAACGAAGCCCGGCUAACUCCGUGCCAGCAGCCGC
This 461-nucleotide ribosomal RNA is filed under the name uncultured bacterium. RNAcentral describes it as "SSU rRNA". It matches the Rfam family "Bacterial small subunit ribosomal RNA", at positions 26 to 518 of the family's 1533-position model. The record is from RNAcentral.